CAGAGCGCCGUCGACCCCACGCCACGCAGAGGUGAAGAUACGCAGGACGUCCUCUAAAGCAACUUCCGUGGGUGCCAGGUUAUGGGCUGGGGGCGGUGCUGACCUUGAGAGAGCGGAGGAGGCGCAGGCGCAGCACAGUUUAAACUUGAUUUUGUGAGGGGACGAACAGCGUGACAAUUAAAGAAGAUCUAGGAAUCAAAAGCUUCCUGAGGCCUUCACCAGAAGCAGAUGCUGGUGCCGUGCUUCUACAGCCUGCAGAACUAGCAACUGGGAACCUAAUUCUGACCAACAAGGAGGAAUUGUUUGGCUAAUUGGAAGUGACAGAAACCUUGGGAGAAAGCAACCGCAUACCAAGGAUAAUUAUAAGAAGGUAACAUGGGCCCUAAAGGAUAGUGUCAAGAAACCUGAAACCCCCAAAUGAGGUGAGACUUGCAAAAAAUGCUAAGGAAGGACAAAAAACAGGCCUUUUAAAAUUCUGUUCAGAACCAGAAGAUGAUCAAGAAAGGGAAAUGCCCACUAGCAGCUUCUACUGUAAGGUUAGAGCUGACAGAGAAAGAACUCCUUAACUACUAUUUGCUUCAUUCUCUACAAAGGAAACUAGAGAAGUGGGUUGACAUAAUAGAAAGAACAUGUGUUUGUGGGGCCAGGCAAACCUGGGUAUAAUUCUGUUUCAACACUGCUUAACAAAAUUUAUGGGAGGCUAUUGUUUUGGAUUGGGCUCCUGCACCAGGCCCCUCCAGACCAAACCAAAAUGGAGUCACUCAUACUAAAACUCCAGGUCACUGAACCAAAACUAAGUUGUUUAUCUGACCUUCCAAGAAAUCAGGAGGGAGAAAACAACCAAAUCUCCAAACAGGCCAGUUUUAAUCAGUGUGAUAAGGAAGUCCUCUCUUUUUUAACCCUAUAAAGAAAGUAACUUUUUGAAAUGAUCAAUACACUUUUUAUUCCUUAGUUCUGCUUUCUUUAGCCCCUUUCUGCCUAUAAAGCCCACUUCCUCUGCUCAACUUACUGAAGCAGUAUUCCAUUUUAUAGAAUGAGAUGCUGCCCAAUUCUGGAAUCACUAAUAAAAGCUAAUUAGAUCUUUACAUUUGUUGAAAUUUUGUCUUUGACAACAUUACUAGUUAUAUUAUUCUGGGUAUCCUUUUCCCCAUCUGUAAAAUGGACAUAGCGAUAUCUUUCCCAUCGGAUUUUUCUCAUUAAUAGAAGUAAUACAUUCAAAACACUGAGCCAGGUUCACACCAGUGAGCAACUUGAUAAUAUUACUCAGAAGCAUAUUAUAGAUAUUGACAGAAAGCAAUACUGUUCCUAAUUAGGGGAAGAAAUUCUAAGAGAGCACCUAAGAGUUUGAAUUUAGAUUAUAACAUUUGCUCUGAGUAUUUUACAUUACAGCCUUUGGGGGGAAAAGUACAAAUGAGAUCUGAGAACAGUGGUACUCAUCUUUGAGGAAUUAUGGAAAACGUAAUAGAACACUAAACAUGGGAAAACAUCGGCCUUCAGGUUGAAAAGUGGAAAUCUCAAUCCCUGAAUUUUUUUUUUUUUUUUACUAAGUAACUUUUUUGCCCAUUGGUGUCAUUUAACCAAAAGAAGAAGAAAUUCCAAAAAAAAAAAAAAAUCAACUGAAACAAAAGAAUAGACUGAAUUUGCCAAAGGAGUGCUUAAAUGGAGACCUAAGUCUUCAAAGCUAAGGUGAUGAGAAAAGAACAGGUCUUAAAUUUCUUCAGAGCUUCAAGAGGCAAAGCUUGAAAGAAGAAAAAAUUUUAUUCUUAGGUAAGAUGUAAGGGUAGAAUGGUGGCCCCUGCAAAAGGUAAGCCUUCCUCCUAAUCCUAGAAUCGUGGAUGGUACCUUAUUUGGAUAAAAAGGUCUUUGCAGAUGUAAUUAAGAACCUUGAGAUGAGGAGAUCAUCCUGGAUUAUCUGGUGGACUGUAAAGUCAAUGACAUGUAUUCAUAUAUGACAGAAGAGAAGACAUGGAGAAGAGGAGGGAGUAGUUGUGACCGUGGAGGCAGAGAAUGGAGUAAUGUGAUCAUAAAUCAAGGAAUGCUGACAGCCACUAAAGCUGGAGAAGGCCAAGGACAGAUAUUCAAUCCUCCCGUAGAAGUACAGCCCUGCUAAUGCAUUGAUUUUGGACUUCUGGCCUCAGAACUGUCUGCAAAGCAUGGAAAUUUGUAUCUUCAUUCACUUUUGUUUUCAUGGACUCUUUUCAUGUUUGAACUUCUCAUGGCUGGAGCACAAUGCCACGAUCUCAGCUCACUGAAACCUCCACCUCCUGUGUUCAAGCGAUUCUCCCAUCUCAGCCUCCCAAGUAGCUGGGAUUACAGGCACGCACCAUCACGACUGGCUAAUUUUUGUAUUUUUAGUAGAGAUGGGGUUUCACCAUGUUGGCCAGGCUGGUCUUGAACUCCUGACCUCAGGUGAUUCAUCCACCUCAGCCUCCCAAAGUGCUGGGAUUACAGGCGUGAGCCACUGCGCUGGGCCAGGUACAUUUGUGUAUGCAGUCUUCUUUUUAAAUUUUUUAAAAAAUAUUAUUUUAAAAAAUAUUUUGUAGAGACAAGCUUUCGCUAUGUUUCCCAGGCUGGUCUCGAACUUCUGGCCUCAAGCGAUUCUUUUGCCUCAGCCUCCAAAACUACUGGGAUUACAGCAUGAGCCAUCAUGCCCAGCUAUACAGCCUUCUAAUUUACUAAAUAACGUUGAUGUGCUUGAUCAUGUUCCCUGGAAAACAGACCCUGAGACGGAGAUUUGCAUGCAGGAAUAUUUAUUCGAGAAUGCUCUUAGAAUCAACACUGGUGAAAUGCAGGAUUGAGUAGAGGGAGAAGUUCGCUGUGAUGUACUUACAAUAAAGCCUAAGCUGACCCUAGGAUGGCUCUAAAGCUAGAGUGGCACUUUAGAGGCAUCCCAAAUGAAGGCAGGGGGUUGAACCUCUGUAUGUACAUCAAUGGCCACUCAUUUAUCUAAUGGCUGACUCCUGGAGAUGAGUGUGACCUUGAGUAAGGCUGAGAGCAAUUCCUGUAUGGAGCUGAUAUUUUGAGAGCUGUCAGCCAACGUCAUUCCCAGAAGCUGAGCAAAGAAUUCUUUCAACCCUGAAAAGGAAUCUGGGUAGUAUAGCUGUGUUCAAUACAACUGAUAAUCAUAAAGGGACAUGUAUCUAUCUGAAGUUGUUAGAUGAUCACCAACACCACCACCACCACCAUCAUCAUUGUCAUCAUCAUCACAUUUACACUGAUAACUUUAGUAUGUGCCAGGCACUUGUCCUAAGUGCUUCGAAAUAAUAUAUUAACUUGUGUAAUUCUCAUGUUAACCCUAUAAUAUAAUCUUAAAUGCUUUGUCCUCAAAAAUAAAAAUCAAUAUAAGUGCUUUUUCUGUAACACAUUCCAAUCCAGAAUGCUUUACUAAUGACCAUUCAGUAAUUUCCAUUGUAUGUUAUUUUAUCCAUCAUGAACAGCCCCAUUUGGUGAUAGUCAUUGGCCAAGAUAGUUACUUUUGCUCAUGGGUUGCAUCUUCUAAAUAAUGGAUGGUAUUAAUGAUGUCUGUAAUUUACUUUCAAAUAAAUGAUCACAGAUAAUAUGAUACUGUGUGGAUAUAUGUGUGUGUGUGAUAUUAUGUGUGUUAAUUUAGGCUAUAAGUGCACUUGUUUGCCAUAAUUGAGAAGUCACAUUCCCAUGUAUGGUCAGAAAGUAUUUAAUCAAAAGGCCGCACUCCAGAGGAAGCUAUGUCAAGUGCUCAAGUCAUACUUAUCUUGAACAACACUAUAAUUUUUCUAAUUAGUAUAUUGAAUAUAAGCAAUGUGGCAAUGUGUUUUCACUGGUGAAAUUAGUGUUGUUCAAAGUGUGUGCAUUGGCUAAUAUAUUUUAGACAUUCUGCCUUUGCAAAAUGGGUUGUAAAAAUCUAGUAAGCAUCAUAAUCUUUAUCCUUAGGAAUGGCAUCCAAGGUUUGAUUUCUAAAAUGUCCCGUAUCUAGCUAUUGAUUCCAUGGAUUCUGAUUGCCUAAAUCCUGCCUCAAUAUUGCCGCGUUUGCCUUAAAUGAACUUUCAUACAUGUGAUAGUCAUAUAUGAUAGCCAGCCUCCAAGUUGGCCCUCAAUGACCUGACACCAAUGAUCCUUAGUGUUCAUCUCUUUUUAUAGUCUCUUCCCAUAUCAAAUAGAGCUGGUCUGUGUAACCAAUAAGAUAUUCUGGAAACGUGAAGAUUAAUUCGUCAGUAAUGUGAGUGAGCCAUCUUGGAAGCAGACCAUCCAGUCCCAGUUAAGCCUUAGGUAACAACAGCCCUGGCCAACAUCUUGAUUCAUGAGAGACCCUGAACCAAAACUAUCCAGCCAACCUACUCUCAAAUCCCUGACCUACAGAAACUCUGAUAUAAUAAAUAUUUAUUGUUGUUUCAAGUCACUAAAUUUUGGGGUGAUUUGUUGUGCAUCAUGGAUAACUAAUACAUGAAAGAGAGAAUUGGAUGUUAAUUGAGUUUAUUGAAGAGAUUAUAUGAAUUGUUGUGUGUAUGACUCCCUGUCAAUAACUGUUUAUUUUAAUUUUUUGAGAUGGAGUCUCACUCUGUCUCCCAGGCUGGAGUGCAGUGGCAUGAUCUUGGCUCACGGCAGCCUCCGCCUCGCAGGUUCAAGCGAUUCUCUGCCUCAGCCUCCUGAGUAGCUGGAAUUACAGGCAUGUGCCAGGACGUCCAGCUAAUUUUUGUGUUUUUUCAGAGACAGGGUUUUGUCAUGUUGGCCAGGCUGGUCUUGAACUCCUGGCCUCAAGUGAUCUGCCCACCUCAGCCUCCCAAAGUGCUGGGAUUAUAGGCAUGAGCCACCACAUUCAGCCAUAGGUUUUUAAUGUUUGCGUGUACGACAGAAUUUGGCCCAAGACUUGCUUUAUUGUAACUUAGUAGCCAACCCUUUCACUCAACAGUUGGUGACUACCUUUAUCUGUCAAAAAGAACAAAAUAGUUGUGUGUGACCAAAUUGCUUAGAUCGUUUUGCAAGAGAGCCAUAUUAAUUUUUCUAUGAUAAAAAAAUCAAGCCUAUGAUGGCUUGAUUCAAUCCACUUCUCUUUAUCACCCUGUUCACUCCAGUCCAGUCAUCUGUCACUUGGUUUAUUACAAUAACCUUUUAACUCAUUUAUGCAUAUUCAUUGGUCUUUUUCCAUCCCAUCAUCAACAUUAAAGUUAGAGUAGGCUUUUAAAAAUACAAGGCUAUUUAUGUAAUUUCCCCCAUUUAAAAUCUUUCAGUGCUCGGGCUGGUCAUGGUGGCUCACACCUGUAAUCCCAGCACUUUGGGAGGCUAAGGCAGGAGGAUCACCUGAGCCCAGGAGUUUGAGACCAGCCUGGGCAACACAGUGACUGAUCUCAUCUCUAAAAAAUAAAAGAUUUAGCUGAGUGUGGUGGCACAGCCCUAGCUACUAGGGAGGUUGAGGUGGAAAGAUUGCUUGAGCCCAGUAGUUCGAAGCUGCAGUGAGCCAUGAUCAUGCCACUACACUCCAACCUGGGUGACAGAGUGAGAUUCUAUCUCUAAAAAAUUAAGAGUAAAAAUAAUAAAAUAAUAUAAAAUCUUUCAGUGCUUGAAAAAAUGAGGCAAAGACAUAAGUUAACAUGACCUAUAAAACCUUUCCAUCCUUAUCUUGCACUCUUCUUUCUCUUACACUCUGUGACCCCACCUCACACUGGCCUUUUUUCAAUUACUAGUACUCUUUCUAUUCCCACUUACCACAGAGAAUUUGUACACGGUGUUUCUUCUGCCUUGAAAUCUCUUCUGUUUCCUCUUUGUCUAGUUUAAGGCUGCCUAUCUUUCAUAUCUAGUGCAUAUGUGAGUCCCUCAGCAAAACUUUCCCUAAUCUCCCUGAUUGAUUCUCAUAGCAUCAUACAUCCCUCCUUUGUGUGCCAGGAACAUUGCAAUUUUACAUUUGUUUGUGUAACUAUUUGAUUAAUGUUCAUGUUGACUGCUAGUACAUUCUGUGAAAGUAGGUACCAUAUCUGAUAUCACUCACUCAUGUAUGCCUUGGGGUCUACCACGGUGCUGAAAAUGUGGUGCAUAUUUGAUAAAUAUUUGACGAAUAUAUGAAUAACUGAUUGACUAAUUUAAUGAGUUCAGGUGGCUACUAAUGUCGCUUCAGAGUGAGAGUGCCUAGUUUCAAAUUUUGGCAGUUCCUAACUGCAAUGUUAGGGAUGAUUUUAUCUCAUUUUUCCUUCGAUUUGUUCUCUGUAAAUUGGGAAUAAUAAUUACCUUAUAGAGUUUUGAAAGGAUUAAAUGAGCUAGUAUACAUUAAAGACUUAAAGCAGUCCUUAACACAGCAAGUACUUUAUGCAUAUAUGAUAGCUACAAGUAUGAUUAUUAACAUCCUUAGUCAAUCUGUCAUACUAGUUCCUUAGGCCAUGGCCACCAGUUGCUUGGGUAAAUUCAUUCUUUACUUGUAGAUGCCAAAUUUCAACUGUCUGUGUAAGAAACAAGAAGCUAUGUCAAAGACAAAAAUUGAGGGUGGAAGCAUAUAAUUAUUAUUAGGUGGUGCAAUUUUGACUUAGGUAUAGGGAUGCUAAUGUUAGCCCCACAUCACUGAUAUUUAUUUGAUAUUUACUAUUUAUACAAAGAGACCAAAGGAGCAGAUUUUGUAUUUAAUGAGGGAGAGCCUCAAAGAGUUCUAUACCUACCUUUUAGUAAUGCAUCGCAAAGAGUUGAGUCCACCAUCUCUCCAUAAGUUUUUGCUUUGGCUAUUAAUUUUUGGGAUUCCCUUAUUAAUCUUUAUUUGAGCCUCAAACAAUGGUAAAAUAUUAACAUCAUAUAAAAUGCUAUUGCUCUCUUUGGGCUAUAGACCUUCCACACUAAGGCCCUGACUUUAAAAUGCUAAAGCAAUAGGUUUAUAACUUUUGAAUAUUAUAUGUUAGAAACUAUUGAGAUGAUGUUCAUUCUUAUUAAACAGUAGAAAUGUUCUUCAUGCUCAGUGCAAAGGCAGCAAUGGUUGGAUUUAUUUAGUUACUAAUGCUUUUUACAGAAGUCGUCAAUGUUAGCAUUUUAUUAUAUUCAGGGUCUCCACUUACAGACAGGUCCACUGUAAGCUGCCAUUGAUUUAGGCAAUAGGUCAUAAACUGAAGAGUUGUUUUUGGUUAAGUGUUACCAGUGAUGCAUUCUGUUCUUUGUUUACUACCAACCACGCAAAACAACACUUUGUACUUUGCAAAGAAACUGAGAUCACCCAGUCCUUGCAACUUAAGUCAUUUCAGUCUGGGUGAAAAAAAAAAACUCUUUUCAACUCUUUGCCAGUUCUUCCUGGCUUUUUGAGAAGGAGAUACCUCUGAAAGAAAAUAGAUCAAAGUUACAUAGGACUAAGGGCAGAUCACAUAGCUAUACUUUGUAGUCUGUUGAAAACAGAACUAGCUUUACUGGAAAAGAGAUCUACUGUUGUAGCUAUAAGGGGCAGAGGGAAGGUUAGAGGGAAGGUUACUAACCUAAAAAUCCAACCACCAUCCCUCUACUAGUUUGUCAGACUUUAAUAUUCCAUCAUCAGAAAUUCAUUUUAAAACAUAAUUUAAAAGAUUUUAAAAGAUAAUUCCUUAAAGCAGUCACCUGUGGAAAAAAGUGAAUUCUCUAUCAAAUCCUUUUCCUGAAAGUGAAUUUCCUGAAAGCACUAAGACUAAGAGGUAACACUGGCUCCUGAAGUUCGGAUUUGACUGUAGGGGUGCUGUGGAGAGAAAAGGUUGGAAGAGCACAGACUGCUUUUGAAGAGAGGCUAGCAGGAAAUCUCUGGCCAUGGAAAACAGUGAUUUCAAUGUGUAAAGACUAUGAGGAAAAAGAGAAAAAGAAGUGGAUUUUUUUUUAAUUUGCUGUUCUGGACGUCUGUAAUAGAAGAAAGGAAACAUGUUACCUCUGCUGAGAUAAAGUGAAGGGACACUCAGACAAGAUUGGAGGGUCAUUAUCUUUUCAUACCUAGAAUGUGAGAACAACUUCACUUCCCUAAAUAUUCUGGUCUUUAGUUUUUGUCUGAUUAUUAUUAUGCCAAAUUCAUUCCUAUUUAUAAAGUGAUUAGUAUAUACAAAGCCCCUUGAAAGUAAUAAAAAAAAAUUUUUAAGUUUUUGGUUUUGGGGGAGCUUUCCAUGUGUACUCUCUCCUAGUAAUUCUUUCAUCAAUAAACAAAUCAUUUACCUGUUAAACUAGACAUAAUAGAUUAAGGGUCUCUCCAUGAUAAGUGAGGAAACACAGGUCACUUUGUCUUGUAGUAAGGAACCAAGGAAAGUAAAGAUGGGAUGAAUAGACAAGGAGGCUGGUACAGAUUUAUAAGUUUAGUUUUUAUUAUGUCCUUGGUAUUUUCCAGUUGAACUAGAAAGGAAAAGCUAUAUAUGAAAAAAAAAAACUAUCACCUUAUGCUGAGCAAAGGAAUUUUGUUGCAGAAUGAAAAUUUGCUAAUGGGUAUAGGGGAUAUAGAAAUGGGAGGAACAGAGUGGUUGUACCCAUUUAAACCCCACCAACAAUGUAUAGAAGUAGUAGUGCUGAUUUUGAAAGUAUGUAAUGGAAUCUGAGUAUGGUUUUAAUUGUCAGUUCCCUGAUGAAUAAUGAUAUUGAAUUCUUUUUAAUUUGCUUGUUGUCUGUUUAAAUAUCUACAUUUAUGAAAGGCCUACUUGAAUCUUUUGUUCAUUUCUUAAAACAUUGAGUUGUCUUUCUCUUACUGAUUUGUAGUCAAGUUUUAUAUAUUUUGGGUACAAGUCAUAUGUCAAUAGUUGUUUUACAUUUUUCUUCUCCUAAUCUGUAGAUUAUUGCUCACUCUCUUAAUGAUAUGUUUCAAUGAACAGAAGUUUUUAAUUUUAAUGAAGUCUAUUUGAUCAAACUCUUCUUUCAUGGUCAGUGCUUUUUGUAUUUAAGAAAACAUUGCCAGGGGGUAUUCCAAGAUGGCCAAAUAGGAACAGCUCUAGUCUGCAGCUCCCAGCAUGAUUGACGCAGAAGACAAGUGAUUUCUGCAUUUCUAACUGAGGUAUCUGGUUCAUCUCAUUGGGACUGGUUGGACAGUGGGUGCAGCCCACGGAGAGUGAGCUGAAGCAGGACAGGGCAUCACCUCACCUGGGAAGUGCAAGGGGUCGGGGAAUUUCUCUUUCCUAGCCAAGGGAAGCCAUGACAGACUACCUGGAAAAACGGGACACUCUCCGCCCAAAUACUGCACUUUUCCCAAGGUCUUAGCAACCAGCAGACAAGGUGAUUCUCUCCUGUGCCUGGCUCAGUGGGUCCCAUGCCCAUGGAGUCUUGCUCACUGCUAGCGCAGCAGUCUGAGAUCGAUCUGUGAGGUAGCAGCCUGGCCGGGGGAGGGGCGCCUGCCAUUGCUGAGGCUUGAGUAGGUAAACAAAGUGGCUGAGAAGCUCGAACUGGUUGGAGCCCACCGCAGCAAGGCCUACUGCCUCUAGACUCCACCUCUGUGGGCAGGGCAUAGCUGAACAAAAGGCAGCAGACAACUUCUGUAGACUUAAACGUCCCUGUCUGACAGCCCUGAAGAGAGCAGUGGUUCUUCCAGCACAGCGUUUGAGCUCUGAGAACCGACAGACUGCUUCCUCAAGUGGAUCCCUGACCCCUGUGUGGCCUAACUGGGAGACACCUCCCAGUAGGAGCUUACCUCAUAUAGGCGGCUGCCCCUCUGGGAUGAAGCUUCCAGAGAAAUGAUUAGGCAGCAAUAUUUGCUGUUCUGCAGUAUUUGCUAUUCUGCAUCCUCCGCUGGUGAUAACCAGGCAAACAGGGUCUGGAGUGGAACUCCAACAAACUCCAGCAGACCUGCUGCUGAGGGACCUGACUGUUAGAACGAAAACUAACAAACAGAAAGGAAUAGCAUCAACAUCAACAAAAAGGUCAUCUACACCAAAACUCCAUCUGUAGGUCACCAACAUCAAAGAGCAAAGGUAGAUAAAACCACAAAGAUGGGGAGAAACCAGAGCAGAAAAGCUGAAAAUUCUAAAAAUCAGAGCACAUCUUCUCCUUCAAAGGAUCACAGCUCCUCACCACCAACAGAACAAAGCUGGACACAAUGAUUUUGACAAGUUGACAGAAGUAGGCUUCAGAAGGUUGAUAGUAACACUCUGAGCUAAAGGAGGAUGUUUGAAACCAUCACAAGGAAGCUAAAAACCUUGAAAAAACAUUAGAUGAAUGGCUAACUAGAAUAAACAGUGUAGAGAAGACCUUAAAUGACCUGAUGGAGCUGAAAACCAUGGCAUGAGAACUUCGUGAUACAUGGACAAGCUUCAAUAGCUGAUUUCAUCAAGUGGAAGAAAGGGCAUCAGUGAUUGAAGAUCAAAUUCAUGAAAAAAAGUGAGAAGAAAAGAUUAGAGAAAAAACAGUAAAAAGAAACAAACAAAGCCUCCAAGAAAUAUGGGACUAUGUGAAAAGACCAAAUCUACAUUUGAUUGGUGUACCUGAAAGUGACAGGGAGAAUGGAACCAUGUUGGAAAACCCUCUGCAGGAUAUUAUCCAGGAGAACUUCCCCAACCUUGCAAGGCAGGCCAACAUUCAAACUCAGGAAAUACAGAGAAUGCCACAAAGAUACUCCUUGAGAAGAGCAACUCUGAGACACAUAAUUGUCAGAUUCACCAAGGUUGAAAUGAAGGAAAAAAUGUUAAGGGCAGCCAGAGAGAAAGGUUGAGUUACCCACAAAGGGAAGCCCAUCAGACUAACAGCAGAUCUCUUGGCAGAAACCCUACAAGCCAGAAGAGAGUGGGGGCCAAUAUUCAACAUUCUUAAAGAAAAUAAUUUUCAACCCAGAUUUCAUAUCCAGCCAAACUAAGCUUCAUUAGUGAAGGAGAAAUAAAAUCCUUUACAGACAAGCAAAUGCUGAGAGAUUUUGUCACCACCAGGCCUGCCCUACAAGAGCUCGUGAAGGAAGGCACUAAACAUGGAAAGGAACAACCAGUACCAGCCACUGCAAAAACAUGCCAAUUUGUAAAGACCAUCGAUGCUAUGAAGAAACUGCAUCAAUUAAUGGGCAAAAUAACCAGUGAACAUCACAAUGACAGGAUCAAAUUCACACAUAACAAUAUUAACCUUAAAUGUAAAUGGGCUAAAUGACCCAAUUAGAAGACACAGACUGGCAAAUUGGAUAAAGAGUCAAGACCCAUCAGUGUGCUGUAUUCAGGAGACCCAUCUCAUGUUGGAAAACACACAUAGGCUCAAAAUAAAGGGACAGAGGAAGAUCUACCAAGCAAAUGGAAAGAAAAAAAAAGCAGAGGUUGCAAUUCUAGUCUCUGAUAAAACAGACUUUCAACCAACAAAGAUCAAAAGUGACAAAGAAGGCCAUUACAUAAUGGUAAAGGGACAAUUCAACAAGAAGAGCUAACUAUCCUAAAUAUAUAGGCACCCAAUACAGGAGCACCCACCUUCAUAAAACAAGUCCUUAGAGACCUACAAAGAGACCUAGACUCUCAUACAAUAAUAAUGGGAGGCUUUAACAUCCCUCUGUCAAUAUUAGACAGAUCAAUGAGACAGAAGGUUAACAAGGAUAUCCAGGAUUUGAACUCAGCUCUGCAACAAGUGGACCUAAUAGACAUCUACAGAACUCUCCAUCCCAAAUCAACAGAAUUUACAUUCUUCUCAGCACCACAUUGCACUUAUCCUAAAAUUGACCACAUAAUUGGAAGUAAAGCACUCCUCAACAAAUGUAAAAGAACAGAAAUCACAACAAACUGUCAGACGACAGUGAAAUCAAAUUAGAACUCCGGAUUAAGAAACACACUCAAAACCACACAACUACAUGGAAACUGAACAACUUGCUCCUGAAUGACUACUGGGUAAAUAACGAAAUGAAGGCAGAUAUAAAGAUAUACUUGGAAACCAAUGAGAACAAAGACACAACAUACCAGAAUCUCUGGGACACAUUUAAAGCAGUGUGUAGAGGGAAAUUUAUAGCACUAAAUGCCCACAAGAGAAAGCAGGAAAGAUCUAAAAUCGACACACUAACAUGUCAAUUAAAAAAACUAGAGAAGCAAGAGCAAACAAAUUCAAAAGCUAGCAGAAGGCAAGAAAUAACUAAAAUCAGAGCAGAACUGAAAGAGAUAGAGACACAAAAAACCCUUCAAAAAAUUAAUGAAUCCAGGAGCUGUUUUUUUGAAAAGAUCAACAAAAUUGAUAGACCACUAGCAAGACUGGUAAAGAAGAAAAGAGAGAAGAAUCAAAUAGAUGCAAUAAAAAAUGAUAAAGGGGAUAUCACCACUGAUCCCACAGAAAUGAAAACUACCAUCAGAGAAUACUAUAAACACCUCUACGAAAAUAAACUAGAAAACCUAGAUGAAAUGGAUAAAUUCCUGGACACAUACACUCUCCCAAGACUAAACCAGGAAGAAGUUCAAUCUCUGAAUAGACCAAUAACAGGCUCUGAAAUUGAGGCAAUAAUUAAUAGCCUACCAACCAAAAGAAGUCCAGGACCAGACGGAUUCACAACUGAAUUCUACCCGAGGUACAAAGAGGAUCUGGUACCAUUACUUCUGCAGCUAUUCCAAUCAACAGUAAAAAAGGGAAUCCUCCCUAGCUCAUUUUAUGACACCAACAUCAUUCUAAUACCAAAGCCUGGCAGAGAAACAACAAAAAAAGAGAAUUUUUGACCAAUAUCCCUGAUGAACAUCGAUGCAAAAAUUCUCAAUAAAAUAUUGGCAAACUGAAUCCAGCAGCACAUCAAAAAGCUUAUCCAUCACGAUCAAGUCGGCUUCAUCACUGGGAUGCAAGACUGGUUCAACAUAUGCAAAUCAAUAAAUGUAAUCCAUCACAUACACAGAACCAAUGACAAAAACCACAUGAUUAUCUCAAUAGAUGCAGAAAAGGCCUUUGACAAAAUUCAACAGCCUGUCAUACUAAAAACUCUCAAUAAACUAGGUUUUGAUGGCAUGUAUCUCAAAAUAAUAAGAGCUAUUUGUGACAAACCCACAGCCAAUAUCAUACUGAAUGGGCAAAAACUGGAAGCAUUCCCUUUGAAAACCAGCACAAGACAAGGGUGUCCUCUCUCACCACUCCUGUUCAACGUAGUGUUGGAAGUUCUGGCCAGGGCAAUCAGGUAAAAGAAAUAAAGGGUAUUCAACUAGGAAAUAAGAAAGUCAAAUUGUCCCUGUUUGCAGAUGACAUGAUUGUGUAUUUUGAAAACCCCGUCGUCUCAGCCCAAAAUCUCCUUAAGCUAAUAAGCAACUUCAGCAAAAUCUCAGGAUACAAAAUCAAUGUGCAAAAAUCACAAGCAUUCCUGUACACCAUUAACAGACAAACAGAGCCAAAUCAUGAGUGAACUCCCAUUCACAAUUGCUACAAAGAGAAUAAAAUACCUAGGAAUCCAACUUACAAGGGAUGUGAAGGACCUCUUCAAGGAGAACUACAAACCACUCCCCAACGAAAUAAAAGAGGACACAAACAAAUAGAAGAAUAUUCUGUGCUCAUGGAUAGGAAGAAUCAAUAUCAUGAAAAUGGCCAUACUGCCCAAAGUAAUUUAUAGAUUCAAUGCCAUCCCCAUCAAGUUACCAAUGACUUUCUUCACAGAAUUGGAAAAAACUACUUUCAAGUUCGUAUGGAACCAAAAAAAGAGCCCACGUUGCCGAGACAAUCCUAAAUCAAUGUUCAUCAAGGAUAUUGGUCUAAAAUUCUCUUUUUGUUGUGUCUCUGCCAGGCUUUGGUAUCAGGAUGAUGCUGGCCUCAUAAAAUGAAUUAGGGAGGAUUCCCUCUUUUUCUAUUGAUUGGAAUAGUUUCAGAAGGAAUGGUACCAGCUCCUCCUUGUACCUCUGGUAGAAUUCGACUGUGAAUCCAUCUGGUCCGGGACAUUUUUUCGUUGGUAAGCUAUUAAUUAUUGCCUCAAUUUCAGAGCCUGUUAUUGGUCUAUUCAGAGAUUCAACUUCUUCCUGGUUUAGUCUUGGGAGGGUAUAUAUGUUGAGGAAUUUAUCCAUUUCUUCUAGAUUUUCUAGUUUAUUUGCGUAGAGGAGUUUAUAGUAUUUUCUGAUGGUAGUUUGUAUUUCUGUGACAUCGUUGGUGAUAUCCCCUUUGUCAUUUUUUAUUGCGUCUAUUUGAUUCUUCUCUCUUUUCUUCCUUAUUAGUCUUGCUAGCAGUCUAUCAAUUUUGUUGAUCUUUUCAAAAAACCAGCUCCUGGAUUCAUUGAUUUUUUGAAGGGUUUUUUGUGUCUCUAUUUCCUUCAGUUCUGCUAUGAUCUUAGUUAUUUCUUGCCUUCUGCUAGCUUUUGAAUGUGUUUGCUCUUGCUUCUCUAGUUCUUUUAAUUGUGAUGUUAGGGUGUCAAUUUUAGAUCUUUCCUGCCUUCUCUUGUGGGCAUUUAGUGCUGUAAAUUUCCCUCUACACACUGCUUUAAAUGUGUCCCAGAGAUUCUGGUAUGUUGUGUCUUUGUUCUCACUGGUUUCAAAGAACGUCUUUAUUUCUGCCUUCAUUUCAUUAUGUACCCAGUAGUCAUUCAGGAGCAGGUUGUUCAGUUUCCAUGUAGUUGAGCAGUUUUGAGUGAGUUUCUUAAUUCUGAGUUCUAGUUUGAUUGCACUGUGGUCUGAGAGACAGUUUGUUAUAAUUUCUGUUCUUUUACAUUUGCUGAGGAGUGCUUUACUUCCAACUAUGUGGUCAAUUUUGGAAUAGGUGUGGUGUGGUGCUGAAAAAAAUGUAUAUUCUGUUGAUUUUGGGUGGGGAGUUCUGUAGAUGUCUAUUAGGUCUGCUUGGUGCAGAGCUGAGUUCAAUUCCUGGAUAUCCUUGUUAACUUUCUGUCUCAUUGAUCUGUCUAAUGUUGACAGUGGGGUGUUAAAGUCUCCCAUUAUUAUUGUGUGGGAGUCUAAGUCUCUUUGUAGGUCACUGAGGACUUG
Molecule: long non-coding RNA, 14750 nt
Organism: Pan troglodytes (chimpanzee)
Lineage: Eukaryota; Metazoa; Chordata; Mammalia; Primates; Hominidae
Exons: 6
Source: RefSeq, a predicted model, not a curated record